UGUCCUACUCACAUAAAAAUUAAUGGAUGGAAGGCAAAAGCUAUUUACUAUCACAAAAUGCAAAAUAAUUCCCAUAGGUAAAUGAAAUCCACACACUAACGAAGCCCCGCUAAGAUAAGAGCGGGGGAAAAAAAAAAAAAUUAAUAGUCUUUGAGAAAAUAGUGCUGAGGCCAGAAAUAAAGCAAAUCGUGUGUUAAUAUUCCUUGUUAGAAGCGUUAAAAGUACAGGUCCCAAAGAAAAUAUUCAAGCUAUACGAGUAUAUGGCACAGGUCAGACCUUAUCGGAAUUAUGCUGUGUAAUAUUUGGUCCCCAUAUAACAGAAAAGAUAUAGAUCGUACAGAGAAUGAUGACUAAUCAGGACAUGAUAAGAAAUAUCGGAUUCAAGCAUGAUAGUUUGACUUAAAAAGAUGAUAGGUGGAAACAGGUAGGUAAGUUUCAUACAGUGACUACUACGUGUACGCUUAUUGCAGCUUCCCUUAUUCUCCUGCUGUUCUUAACCAGCAUUAAGUAUUAUUCUCUCUCUCUCUCUCUCUCUCUCUCUCUCUCUCUCUCUCUCUCUCUCUCUCUCUCUCUCUCUCUCUCUCUCUCUCUUUCACACACACACACACACACACACACACACUGGCGUAGCUAAGCAAACGCAAACAUCCCCGAAUGCCUUCCUGUGUUAGCUAUCUAAAUUAGUUAUAUAAAAUCCCAGCCAACUGUCGUUCAUCUUGCCCGCCUCUCAAGCCAGUGCUACCCAUUAUAAACAGUGUGCCAGUGCGUGUACCGCCCCACCGGUGCCCCAAUGACAGUCAUGUGCCCCUAACCAGGAAAACGCAAAAAAGAGAAAAGAACAAAUGACUGGAAAAUUGUAGGACAGAAGGCAAAUGACCACCAACACACCUCAUGCACUGCACCACCUCCUCCGCCCGCUGCUGCUGCCCCCUCAGCUGCCGGGCCCUCAGAGCUGCUUCUGGGUGCCCGGGGUGGCAGGGGGCUGGGGCGUAGUACCAGAGACGGCUGCGGCAGUGGAGGCAGCCUUCUGCUUGAGCAUGGUCCAAUCAAAGGUAUAGUCAUAUUGGUGGUGCAAAGUGCGGAACAGAAUGCGGAAUAACUGCCGCAGAUACAUGUAGUCAGGAG
This is a long non-coding RNA of Scylla paramamosain (green mud crab), 1125 nucleotides long. RefSeq lists it as uncharacterized. The record is from RefSeq and is a predicted model, not a curated record. Lineage: Eukaryota; Metazoa; Arthropoda; Malacostraca; Decapoda; Portunidae. The transcript is spliced from 2 exons.